RNAcentral lists this long non-coding RNA (1975 nucleotides) under Anolis carolinensis (green anole). RNAcentral's name for it is "lncRNA (ENSACAG00000038612.1)". The record is from RNAcentral. Lineage: Eukaryota; Metazoa; Chordata; Lepidosauria; Squamata; Anolidae.
UGGCUUCUCCUGAUUAAUUAAAAUGAGGUUUUUGAUAGGUCAAAGAGAAAUCCAACAUUUGGAUCUCUGUAGCAUUCUCGCCAAUAUAAGAAAUGAAAUUAUUGCUUGAAAUCUGUGAGAAACACUUUAUUUCCCCAAGAUUUUUCAAAUUCUUGAAUUAUUUAUAUAAAUGAUGGCCAACUUUGAAAUGAAGAGUAGUAUUGUCAGUAUGUUCAUAGGCAAGAGACACCACAUUACCUUGAAGCUUUUCAACGAGUUUUCCAAAUAUAGUAGAGUCUCACUUAUCCAACAUAAACGGGCCAGCAGAAUGUUGGAUAAGCGAAUAUGUUGAAUAAUAAGGAGAGAUUAAGGAGAAGCCUAUUAAACAUCAAAUUAGGUUAUGAUUUUACAAAUUAAGCACCAAAACAUCAUGUUAUACAACAAAUUUGAUAGAAAAAGUAGUUCAAUAUGAGUAAGGUUAUGUUGUAAUUACUGUAUUUAUGAAUUUAGCACCAAAAUAUCAUGAUAUAUUGAAAACAUUGACUACAAAAAUACGUUGGAUAAUCCAGAAUGUUGGAUAAGCAAAUGUUGGAUAAGUGAGACUCUACUUUAGCAAUUCUAAUGUUGUGUAAUUUACAGUCAUCAGAAAGAGUUUUACCUUGAGUCCCAGCUUUGGAGAACAGGCAAUGCAUAAAGACAAGGAAGAAGAGGAAUAGAAAGAGUUUCUAUGUGUUGUCGAAGGCUUUCAUGGCCAGGAUCACAGGGUUGUUGCAUGUCUUUCGGGCUGUGUGGCCAUGUUCCAGAAGUAUUCUCUCCUGACAUUUCGCCCACAUCUAUGGCAGGCAUCCUCAGAGGUUGUGAAUUAUAUUGGAAACUAGGUAAGGGAGGUUUAUAUAUCUGAGAAAUAUCCACGGUGGGAAAAAUAAUUCUUGUCUGUUUGAGGUAAGUGUGUAUGUUGCAACUGGCCAGCUUGAUUAGCAUUGAAUUACCUUGCAGUUUUAAAGCCUGGUUGCUUCCUGCCUGGGGGAGGGGAAUCCUUUGUUGGGUGGUGUUAGCUGGCCCUAUUUUUCCGUCAGGAAUUCCCUGUUGUUGUUUUUUUAGUGUUGUUCUUUAUUUACUGUCCUGAUUCUAGAGUUUUUUUAAAUGUUGGUAGCCAGAUUUUGUUCAUUUUCAUGGUUUCCUCCUAACUGUUGAAAUAGUUCACAUGCUUGUAGAUUUUAAUUGCUUCUCUGUGUAGUCUGACAUGGUGGUUGUUAGAGUGGUCCAGCAUUUCUGUGUUUUCAAAUAAUAUGCUGUUGGCUCAUCAAGUGCUCUGCUAUGGCUGACUUCUCUGGUUGGAUUAGUCUGCAGUGCCUUUUCAUGUUCCUUAAUUCGCGUUUGGGCAAUGCUGCUGCGUUUGGUGGUCCCUCUGUAGACUUGUCCACAGCUGCAUGGUAUAUGGUAGACUCCUGCAGAGUUUUCUUUUGCUAAACAUAACAUUUGUUGAAUCUUCUUAGUGAGUCUGUAGAUAGUUUGUACGUUUUGUUUCUUCAUCAACUUCCUUAGAAAAGGAAGCCUAUGUUGUUUUCUUUUGGCCAGGAUAAAUAGGAGGUCAUUUAUAUUUUCUUUUUCUUUUCUUUUCCUUGGCAUUUUUUGUGUUUAUGCUCUAGGUUUCUUUUUUUAUUCACUUUUUUGACUUAAUGUAACUUUAAAAACUUUUAAAAUCAUAGAAUCAUAGAAUCAUAGAAUAGUAGAGUUGUAAGAGACCUCAUGGGCCAUCCAGUCCAACCCCCCGCCAAGAAGCAGGAAAUCGCAUUCAAAGCACCCCCGACAGAUGGCCAUCCAGCCUCUGCUUAAAAGCCUCCAAAGAAGGAGCCCCCACCACAGUCUGGGUUGAGAGUUCCACUGCCAAACAGCCCUCACAGUGAGGAAGUUCUUCCUGAUGUUCAGGUGGAAUCUCCUUUCCUGUAGUUUGAAGCCAUUGUUCCAUGUCCUAGUCUGCAGGGCAGCAGAAAAC